This 260-nucleotide long non-coding RNA is filed under the name Amborella trichopoda. RNAcentral's name for it is "long non-coding RNA (ATRI_LNC000560)". Lineage: Eukaryota; Viridiplantae; Streptophyta; Magnoliopsida; Amborellales; Amborellaceae. The record is from RNAcentral.
AUUGUAGUCCAUGUAUGUUGAUAUACUUAUUCCAUGAUAAUUCUAUGUUUAUCCUUUUGUGUGAUGUAAAUUAAAUACUGAAUGGCGGUUCAUGCAGGGAAAGAAUAUAUCAAUAUUCGCAUAUUCAUUCAAAAACAUGAAAAUUCUUAAUGGAGUACCCUCAUUUCUUAUUGAAUUCCUAAAAAACAAUAUUUAUAAUGAAUUUUAAUAAUUUUUUCUGAUUUUUUUGAAGCUUUAUUCGGACCGAUUCACCCGAUUCC